GCUCAGGAUGAACGCUGGCGGCGUGCCUAAUACAUGCAAGUCGAGCGAAUGGAUUAAGAGCUUGCUCUUAUGAAGUUAGCGGCGGACGGGUGAGUAACACGUGGGUAACCUGCCCAUAAGACUGGGAUAACUCCGGGAAACCGGGGCUAAUACCGGAUAACAUUUUGAACUGCAUGGUUCGAAAUUGAAAGGCGGCUUCGGCUGUCACUUAUGGAUGGACCCGCGUCGCAUUAGCUAGUUGGUGAGGUAACGGCUCACCAAGGCAACGAUGCGUAGCCGACCUGAGAGGGUGAUCGGCCACACUGGGACUGAGACACGGCCCAGACUCCUACGGGAGGCAGCAGUAGGGAAUCUUCCGCAAUGGACGAAAGUCUGACGGCGCAACGCCGCGUGAGUGAUGAAGGCUUUCGGGUCGUAAAACUCUGUUGUUAGGGAAGAACAAGUGCUAGUUGAAUAAGCUGGCACCUUGACGGUACCUAACCAGAAAGCCACGGCUAACUACGUGCCAGCAGCCGCGGUAAUACGUAGGUGGCAAGCGUUAUCCGGAAUUAUUGGGGCGUAAAGCGCGCGCAGGUGGUUUCUUAAGUCUGAUGUGAAAGCCCACGGCUCAACCGUGGAGGGUCAUUGGAAACUGGGAGACUUGAGUGCAGAAGAGGAAAGUGGAAUUCCAUGUGUAGCGGUAGAAAUGCGUAGAGAUAUGGAGGAACACCA
Molecule: ribosomal RNA, 711 nt
Filed under: Bacillus sp. ZG(2010)
Lineage: Bacteria; Bacillati; Bacillota; Bacilli; Caryophanales; Bacillaceae
Description: bacterial SSU rRNA
Rfam family: Bacterial small subunit ribosomal RNA
Source: RNAcentral